This 353-nucleotide long non-coding RNA is filed under the name Vitis vinifera (wine grape). Its description in RNAcentral is "long non-coding RNA (VVIN_LNC002372)". The record is from RNAcentral. Lineage: Eukaryota; Viridiplantae; Streptophyta; Magnoliopsida; Vitales; Vitaceae.
UUUUUUUUUUCUAACUAUCAGUAUUUCCAACUAUUAUUAUUUUAUUUAUAGCUAUUAUUAUUUUCCAACUAUUAAUGUACAUGAGAUAUUGGUGAAUGCUAAAACAAACACUUAUCCUCCCUAUUUAGAACCUAAUUCUCCAUAUCCCUAAUUUUUAUAGGGUCGUUCUAAGAUGAACAAUACCUUGUGAAAACAAUAGUACUUGUGUAGUUACACUAAAGCAAAAAGAAACUAUUAUCAAAUGAAAGUAUGAAUACUUCUACCCGGUGAGUAAUUGAAGAAAAAUUAUACCCAUCAGUCGCAGGUCUGGAAAUGUGUGAAUAUCCAAUAUUUUGAAAGGGUGAAGAUGAUGC